Molecule: non-coding RNA, 99 nt
Organism: Meloidogyne enterolobii
Lineage: Eukaryota; Metazoa; Nematoda; Chromadorea; Rhabditida; Meloidogynidae
Source: the annotation of a GenBank genome assembly
GUAUUAGUGCUUCCCUGGUAGCUCAGAGGUAGAGCUACUGUAUGUGGUGAGCGAAGGCGGCUAGCAAUAGGUCGCAGGUUCGAAUCCUGCCCGGUGGCU